AGCAGCCGCGGUAAUUCCAGCUCCAAUAGCGUAUAUUAAAGUUGUUGCAGUUAAAAAGCUCGUAGUUGAAUUUCGGGAUUGACGUGAUGGUCGUGCCUUACGGGGUAUGAACUGUCGCAGUUGAUUUCUCACCUUCUGGAGAAGCUCGAUGUCCUUAAUUGGGUGUCUUGCGGAACCAGGACCUUUACCUUGAAAAAAUUAGAGUGUUUAAAGCAGGCAUUUUGCUCGAAUACAUUAGCAUGGAAUAAUAGAAUAGGACGGCAUGGUUCUAUUUUUGUUGGUUUCUAGGAUCACCGUAAUGAUUAAUAGGGAUAGUUGGGGGCAUUAGUAUUCAAUUGUCAGAGGUGAAAUUCUUGGAUUUAUUGAAGACUAACUACUGCGAAAGCAUUUGCCAAGGAUGUUUUCAUUAAUCAAGAACGAAAGUUAGGGGAUCGAAGACGAUCAGAUACCGUCGUAGUCUUAACCAUAAACUAUGCCGACUAGGAAUCAGACGAUGUUAAUUUUUAAUGACUCGU
This 515-nucleotide ribosomal RNA is filed under the name uncultured Entrophospora. Its description in RNAcentral is "SSU rRNA". It matches the Rfam family "Eukaryotic small subunit ribosomal RNA", at positions 569 to 1079 of the family's 1831-position model. The record is from RNAcentral. Lineage: Eukaryota; Fungi; Glomeromycota; Glomeromycetes; Entrophosporales; Entrophosporaceae.